Molecule: ribosomal RNA, 1153 nt
Filed under: Paratrichodorus renifer
Lineage: Eukaryota; Metazoa; Nematoda; Enoplea; Triplonchida; Trichodoridae
Description: SSU rRNA
Rfam family: Eukaryotic small subunit ribosomal RNA
Source: RNAcentral
AAAGAUUAAGCCAUGCAUGUCUAUGCACACGCCCUUGAUUGGUGAAGCCGCGAAAAGCUCAUUACAACAGCCAUAGUUUAUUGGAUCUUUACGUUCCUACAAGGAUACCUGCGGUAAUUCUGGAGCUAAUACUUGCGAAAAACGACGACCUUACGGAAGUCGUGCAUUUGUUAGACUAAACCAAUCGGUGCUUCGGCACCGUCAUUUGGUGAACUCUGAAUAACUCAGCUGAUCGCACAGUCUCGUACUGGCGACAAAUCCUUCAAGUGUCUGCCUUAUCAACUGUCGAUGGUAGUUUACACGACUACCAUGGUUGUAACGGGUAACGGAGAAUAAGGGUUCGACUCCGGAGAGGGAGCCUGAGAAACGGCUACCACAUCCAAGGAAGGCAGCAGGCGCGCAAAUUACCCACUCUCAGUACGAGGAGGUAGUGACGAAAAAUAACGAGGUGGCCCUCUUUGAGGUCCAUCAUCGGAAUGGGUACAAUUUAAAUCCUUUAACGAGGAUCUAUUGGAGGGCAAGUCUGGUGCCAGCAGCCGCGGUAAUUCCAGCUCCAAUAGCGUAUACUAAAGUUGUUGCGGUUAAAAAGCUCGUAGUUGGAUCUGCGCCAGGUGAAAGCGGUCGCCCGAUGGGUUGUUACUGCUUCUCCCUGGCUAACCCUUCGGUUUUCCCUUGAUGCUCUUAAGUGAGUGUCCUGGGUGACCGGAACGUUUACUUUGAAAAAAUUAGAGUGCUCAAAGCAGGCAUUUCGCCCGAAUAUUCGUGCAUGGAAUAAUAAAAGAGGUCCCUGUAGCCUUUUAUUGGUUAUCGCUACGAGGAAAUGAUCGAAGGGGACAGACGGGGGCAUUUGUAUUGCGACGUUAGAGGUGAAAUUCUUGGAUCGUCGCAAGACAAACUACUGCGAAAGCAUUUGCCAAGAAUGUUUUCAUCAAUCAAGAACGAAAGUCUGAGGUUCGACAGCGAUCAGAUACCGCUUUAGUUCAGACCGUAAACGAUGCCAUCUGGCGAUCCGCCGGCGUUAUGCUUGACCCGGCGGGCAGCCACCGGUAAACCUUUAAGUGGGGUUCCGGGGGAAGUAUGGUUGCAAAGCUGAAACUUAAAGGAAUUGACGGAAGGGCACCACCAGGAGUGGAGCCUGCGGCUUAAUUUGACU